This 120-nucleotide ribosomal RNA is filed under the name Sinocyclocheilus grahami. Lineage: Eukaryota; Metazoa; Chordata; Actinopteri; Cypriniformes; Cyprinidae. The record is from RNAcentral.
UGUGGCAGCCAGGUCACAGGCCUGAAGCCCAAGACUGGUUGCCCACUGAAGCUAAGCAGGGCUGAGCCUGGUCAGUACCUGGAUGGGAGACCUCCUGGGAAAACUAGGUUGCUGCUGGAA